Molecule: ribosomal RNA, 486 nt
Filed under: uncultured bacterium
Lineage: Bacteria
Description: partial 16S ribosomal RNA
Rfam family: Bacterial small subunit ribosomal RNA
Source: RNAcentral
AUUGAACGCUGGCGGCAUGCCUUACACAUGCAAGUCGAACGGCAGCACGGGUGCUUGCACCUGGUGGCGAGUGGCGAACGGGUGAGUAAUACAUCGGAACAUGUCCUGUAGUGGGGGAUAGCCCGGCGAAAGCCGGAUUAAUACCGCAUACGAUCUACGGAUGAAAGCGGGGGCCCUUCGGGCCUCGCGCUUUAGGGUUGGCCGAUGGCUGAUUAGCUAGUUGGUGGGGUAAAGGCCUACCAAGGCGACGAUCAGUAGCUGGUCUGAGAGGACGACCAGCCACACUGGGACUGAGACACGGCCCAGACUCCUACGGGAGGCAGCAGUGGGGAAUUUUGGACAAUGGGCGAAAGCCUGAUCCAGCAAUGCCGCGUGUGUGAAGAAGGCCUUCGGGUUGUAAAGCACUUUUGUCCGGAAAGAAAACCUUGGCCCUAAUACGGUCGGGGGAUGACGGUACCGGAAGAAUAAGCACCGGCUAACUACGUG